GACGAACGCUGGCGGCGUGCUUAACACAUGCAAGUCGAGCGGUAAGGCCCUUUCGGGGGUACACGAGCGGCGAACGGGUGAGUAACACGUGGGUGACCUGCCCUCAGCUCUGGGAUAAGCCUGGGAAACCGGGUCUAAUACUGGAUAUGACUCCAUGACGCAUGUUGUGGGGUGGAAAGCCUUGUGCGGCUGAGGAUGGGCCCGNGGCCUAUCAGCUUGUUGGUGGGGNAUGGCCUACCAAGGCGACGACGGGUAGCCGGCCUGAGAGGGCGACCGGCCACACUGGGACUGAGACACGGCCCAGACUCCUACGGGAGGCAGCAGUGGGGAAUCUUGCGCAAUGGGCGAAAGCCUGACGCAGCGACGCCGCGUGAGGGAUGACGGCCUCGGUG
RNAcentral lists this ribosomal RNA (392 nucleotides) under uncultured bacterium. Its description in RNAcentral is "bacterial SSU rRNA". It matches the Rfam family "Bacterial small subunit ribosomal RNA", at positions 28 to 422 of the family's 1533-position model. The record is from RNAcentral.